RNAcentral lists this ribosomal RNA (468 nucleotides) under uncultured bacterium. RNAcentral describes it as "partial 16S ribosomal RNA". It matches the Rfam family "Bacterial small subunit ribosomal RNA", at positions 28 to 507 of the family's 1533-position model. The record is from RNAcentral.
GACGAACGCUGGCGGCGUGCUUAACACAUGCAAGUCGAACGGAAAGGCCCUGCUUUUGUGGGGUGCUCGAGUGGCGAACGGGUGAGUAACACGUGAGUAACCUGCCCUUGACUUUGGGAUAACUUCAGGAAACUGGGGCUAAUACCGGAUAGGAGCUCCUGCUGCAUGGUGGGGGUUGGAAAGUUUCGGCGGUUGGGGAUGGACUCGCGGCUUAUCAGCUUGUUUGUGGGGUAGUGGCUUACCAAGGCUUUGACGGGUAGCCGGCCUGAGAGGGUGACCGGCCACCUUGGGACUGGGAUACGGCCCCGACUCCUACGGGAGGCAGCAGUGGGGAAUAUUGCACAAUGGGCGGAAGCCUGAUGCAGCAACGCCGCGUGCGGGAUGACGGCCUUCGGGUUGUAAACCGCUUUCGCCUGUGACGAAGCGUGAGUGACGGUAAUGGGUAAAGAAGCACCGGCUAACUACGUG